This 73-nucleotide transfer RNA is filed under the name Saccoglossus kowalevskii. Its description in RNAcentral is "tRNA-Val". It matches the Rfam family "tRNA". Rfam says of the family: Transfer RNA (tRNA) molecules are approximately 80 nucleotides in length. Their secondary structure includes four short double-helical elements and three loops (D, anti-codon, and T loops). The record is from RNAcentral. Lineage: Eukaryota; Metazoa; Hemichordata; Enteropneusta; Harrimaniidae.
GUUUUCGUAGUGUAGUGGUUAUCACAUUUGCCUCACACGCGAAAGGUCCCCGGUUCGAACCCGGGCGAAAACA